GAUGAACGCUGGCGGCGUGCCUAAUACAUGCAAGUCGAGCGAACGGACGAGAAGCUUGCUUUUCUGAUGUUAGCGGCGGACGGGUGAGUAACACGUGGAUAACCUACCUAUAAGACUGGGAUAACUUCGGGAAACCGGAGCUAAUACCGGAUAAUAUUUUGAACCGCAUGGUUCAAAAGUGAAAGACGGUCUUGCUGUCACUUAUAGAUGGAUCCGCGCUGCAUUAGCUAGUUGGUAAGGUAACGGCUUACCAAGGCAACGAUGCAUAGCCGACCUGAGAGGGUGAUCAGCCACACUGGAACUGAGACACGGUCCAGACUCCUACGGGAGGCAGCAGUAGGGAAUCUUCCGCAAUGGGCGAAAGCCUGGCGGAGCAACGCCGCGUGAGUGAUGAAGGUCUUCGGAUCGUAAAACUCUGUUAUUAGGGAAGAACAUAUGUGUAAGUAACUGUGCACAUCUUGACGGUACCUAAUCAGAAAGCCACGGCUAACUACGUG
Molecule: ribosomal RNA, 497 nt
Filed under: uncultured bacterium
Lineage: Bacteria
Description: partial 16S ribosomal RNA
Rfam family: Bacterial small subunit ribosomal RNA
Source: RNAcentral